GAAUCCCGUCUUUGACACGGACUGCCUGUACAUUAUGGUGUGCUCUCGAAGAGUCGAGUUGUUUGGGAAUGCAGCUCAAAAUGGGUGGUAAAUGCCAUUUAAAGCUAAAUAUUGGCGAGAGACCGAUAGCGAACAAGUACCGUGAGGGAAAGAUGAAAAGAACUUUGGAAAGAGAGUUAAACAGUACGUGAAAUUGCUGAAAGGGAAACGCUUGAAGUCAGUCGCGUUGGCUAGAAAUCAACCUUGCUUUUGCUUUGUGUACUUUCUGGUUGACGGGUCAGCAUCAAUUUUGACCACUGGAUAAAGUCUUUGGGAAUGUGGCAUCUUCGGAUGUGUUAUAGCCCAUUGUCGCAUACGGUGGUUGGGAUUGAGGAACUCAGCACGCCGCAAGGCCGGGUUUCGACCACGUUCGUGCUUAGGAUGCUGGCAUAAUGGCUUUAAUCGACCCGUCUUGAAACACGGACCAAGGAGUCUAACAUGCCUGCGAGUGUUUGGGUGGAAAAACCCAUGCGCGCAAUGAAAGUGAAAGUUGAGAUCCUCUUCAAAGGGGGAGCAUUGACGCCCGGACCAGACCUUUUGUGACGGAUCCGCGGUAGAGCAUGCAUGUUGGGACCCGAAAGAUGGUGAACUAUGCCUGAAUAGGGUGAAGCCAGAGGAAACUCUGGUGGAGGCUCGUAGCGAUUCUGACGUGCAAAUCGAUCGUCAAAUUUGGGUAUAGGGGCGAAAGACUAAUCGAACCAUCUAGUAGCUGGUUCCUGCC
RNAcentral lists this ribosomal RNA (760 nucleotides) under uncultured Inocybe. RNAcentral's name for it is "partial 28S ribosomal RNA". It matches the Rfam family "Eukaryotic large subunit ribosomal RNA", at positions 216 to 962 of the family's 3401-position model. The record is from RNAcentral. Lineage: Eukaryota; Fungi; Basidiomycota; Agaricomycetes; Agaricales; Cortinariaceae.